RNA transcript from Lotus japonicus, 3350 nucleotides. RefSeq lists it as uncharacterized. NCBI's taxonomy places the organism in Eukaryota, Viridiplantae, Streptophyta, Magnoliopsida, Fabales, Fabaceae. The record is from RefSeq and is a predicted model, not a curated record. The transcript is spliced from 3 exons.
CUACUACUAGGGAGAAAGAGAGAUUUGGGAAGUAUAAAAGAUUUUGAAAACAAGAUGGGCUUUCUUGAAGCGCACAACCACUGCCUUAUCUCCUGAAUCUCUCUCUUUCUCUCUCCCGCCACUGGAAAAGGUCUAAUCUCAUCAACUCUCAGUCUCUCUCCGUUAACUUUCUGCCCACCUAUAUCAUUAACUCUCUCACCAUGAACGAAAAGCGGAAAAGGAAGGCUCAUCUCACCUCAUCUGAGUUCUUGUGCUUCCACUUCCUCCCCGGUUCUUCAUCUCAUCUCACCUCAUCUCUAAUUAUGUCGUUUCUUAGGUGCUUGUUGUAAUGUGUGACUACAUGCUCGUCUAAUUUGCUGAUUGCAAUUGGCUAGUCCCUAGUUUUAAUCCAUUGCUAUUUUUUCAGAUAAAAGUUGAUUGUACCCUGAUAUUCACUCUUCAAUUUAAUAAGUACAUGCUCGUCUAAUUUGCUGAUAACAAUUGGCUAGUCCCUAGUUUUAAUGACUACAUGCUUGCCUUAAAAAGUGAUUGUCACUUUUUUUGUUGUUGCUGUAAUGGAGUAUUGCGUACUGUGGGGAGUAUUCCCAAACCUUUGUUCUUGUUUGCCUCCCCAACAAUGAAUGGUCAUAUUGAGUUGCGAAGCAUUUCAACUUUGCUAGUGUACUUAGUUUUUGAAUUUCCUAAAAUCAAUAUGACCAAAUUUUUCUAAAUUUUAAGGCAAAAGUUAUAGUUUUACUUAAUCAUAUGACCAAAUUUUCUUAAACUUUAUUUAUUAGUUAUCAAUAGAAGAGAAAGGAGGGACCCCCUGUUUUCCUUUUCUCUUGCACCUCCUAGCAAAUAAAGCAAGAAACUAAUAAAUGAACAAAACAGUUACCUAAAGGAAAAUGCAUAUGAUAGCAGUGAAGGUUAAAAGUUUGGUAAUGCUUUCAUUUUGUGUAGACAACAAUACCCUAACUAGAGGAGAUUUCAGAAAGAACCUGUUUGAGACUCUUGCAAGUUCCAAUACUAGCAUUUUUUGUCCUCACCAUAACACUGAACAUGGAUACAUAUAAGGUGUACAGUUUCUGCAGAAUCACAAAUAUGUGCAUCGAUAUUACACACAAAAAAACAGAUAAUAAAUAAGCAUUGAUCACAUAAGUUGUUGAGCGUGAACUAACCUAUUGUCUUUAACCUUGUCUUUGGUUGUAUUCUUUGUGGAAGCAGUAGAAGAACCAAUAGAUGCAAAACCAUAACAAAGGUUAAUAUUGAAUUUAAUUAAGUAGUAACAUUUUUUAGUAUUACUACUUCAUACUUUCAGCUUUUGGGUUGGAUCCAGCAAAAUGGGGAGGUACAUAAAAGACAUUUAUAUGAUGCAGUUUGAGUUUCCUUAUUUUGAUAAAGAGUGAGGCCUUCUGUGUGUCAAGACAUCAUGCCAAAGAAAUUUGGAACAUUAUGAUUUUUAUUUGUUCAGUUCUUUUUUUAUGGUUCAAAAUUUUGGCUACUUGCUUGCAAACUGCAAAAGAUUGCCAAUAUACUAUAGUGUAUAGGAGAUCAAUUAGGUUAUUAGUGGUUUUAUACUUUUAUCUUCUCUGAAUCUGAAAGCAAGAUGGCUAACUCUGAAACCCUAACAUUCCUUUGUUUAAUUUUACUUUCUCUGUUGUGUUCUUCUUUUCUAAAAUUAUAUUGUUACUUAACAACAUUUAGAUGGAUUUGUUCUAGUACUGAUGUGGAUCAAGUUCUACUCAGCUCAAUCUGUUUCAAUCAUUAUCUGCUAUUGAGAAUUUUUCUGUUUGAUAUUGCUGGUUUCUGAAAUUGCACAAAAGAUGUUUGUGCAAUUUAAGAAUUGUUAAAUUAGUUAUGAAUUGUUAAAUUUAUAAUUGUUAGAAAAGGAACAAAGGAAAACAAGAUGGAUGGACCGACGGACAGGACACACUACUUUUACAAAUAUUCAUAUCAGUAAAAAACUCAGUAGGUCAUUUUGAAAACAUGACUCCCGAUGCACAGAGUACAUGGGAGUUAGCUACCCAGUUUUAUAACGAUUCAUGCAUUACCCUAUGCAAUACUGGGUGUACUACCAGAACACUAGAGGAAGUGAUGGACAGACUCAAGCAGUUGAGAUCAAAAUUCAGGAGAUAUAAAAGUAAUGGUUCUUCCCGUGCAUGGGGUCCAAUGGACAAAGCCACACACUUGUUUGAGAAUUUGAAGAUGACUUUCCCAAAGUUUCCCAACACUCAUCCCGAAGCCCCUAACCCCGAGCCGGACACGAGGACCAGGAGCAUAAGCCCACCAAGCAGAACUUCAACUAAUCCUUUUGCGCCAUAUGCAUGUGCCUCUGCUUGGACAGGAGGUGCCCUCAAUAAUCUAACAACCCGUAUUGAUUUUGUUGAGCUUGUUCAGAAAGCACUAAAGGGGAAAACGAAAUUAAGUAAAGAUAAGCUUGAAGAGUUUUCCUACGAAUUUCUGGAUAGGUGUUCUUAGGACCAAAGGAAAACUAUGGUCACGUUUGGUAUAGAAUACUAUGUACAAGCAGAACGCUAUCUGCAGCAUUUGAUGACAGCUCACAACAUGAAACUGUAAGAUGAGGGAAAAGAUGGUGGUGGUGUGGGGGCAAACAUGGUUGUGGUGUGUUGUGGAGAUGGUGGUAGCAUGGAGGGUAUUCUAAUUUUGAUUUGAAGGGUAUUCUUUUCUGAAGUUGUGUUGUGAUGAUCUUUAUUUAUGUUGUUUUUGUUGUGAUGAUCUUUAUUUAUGUUUUUUUAUUGAAUAUUUUGUUCUGUCUUAUUCUAAUUCUGAUUCUAAGCCAAAGCACAUUUUUCAUGAUUGGUUUUCUUCUUAUGGCUUAGCAACAGGGGCGGAUUCACCGCCUGGCGAGCUUGGGCCUAUGCCCAGGCUCUAAGGGAAAGAAAGAAAAAAUUCUUUGGACAAGCUUCUUUUUUGGCUCCAAAAUAAAAAGAAAAAAUGGGCAAAAUUGGGCGGUGGGUGAGGAGAUCACGGUGAGCUGGUGAGAGAGACAGAGAGUGAGAGGUGAAAGCUUGAAAGGCGGUGGGCGGAGAGUGAGAGGUUUCCAUCUCCAAUUUUCAUUUAUCCUUUUCCUGAGUCUCUGUUUUGCUGAUCUGUUUUUAUUUCUUACUAUUUUGGGUCGGUGGGGCAGUAGGAGGUGAACAGAGGAGAGGAAAAUAAGUUUGAUUUUUUGUCUCUAUUACAGAGAGUGAGAUGAAAAGCUCUUUUGUUUUUCUCUUGCUUUGACCCUGUUAUUGUUUUGUUCUCCCAUGCUACUUACGGUUUUCCUCCUCUUUGUAUCUCUUUUUAUUUUAUUUUCUCAUUUGUUAUAUGGGUGACUUAUUAAUAUUACAAUGGCUUAUAAAUAAAUAAAA